This 608-nucleotide ribosomal RNA is filed under the name uncultured fungus. Its description in RNAcentral is "eukaryotic LSU rRNA". The stretch from base 237 to 390 matches the Rfam family "5.8S ribosomal RNA". The record is from RNAcentral. Lineage: Eukaryota; Fungi.
UGACCUCGAAUCAGGUAGGACUACCUCUUGGUCAUUUAGAGGAAGUAAAAGUCGUAACAAGGUCUCCGUUGGUGAACCAGCGGAGGGAUCAUUAUCGAGUUAUUCAACUCCCAAACCCUAUGUGAACUUACCACUUGUUGCUUCGGCGCGCGCUUCGGCGCCGCCGAGGACACUUAAACUCUUUGUUUUUAUAAGCAUUUCUGAGUGGCCGAAAGGCAAAAAUACAAAUGAAUCAAAACUUUCAACAACGGAUCUCUUGGUUCUGGCAUCGAUGAAGAACGCAGCGAAAUGCGAUAAGUAAUGUGAAUUGCAGAAUUCAGUGAAUCAUCGAAUCUUUGAACGCACAUUGCGCCCGCCAGCAUUCUGGCGGGCAUGCCUGUUCGAGCGUCAUUUCAACCCUCGAGCCCGACUCUUUUGAGGACGGCUCGGCGUUGGGGGACGGCAGACUCCCCCCGGCAUCUCGCCGGGGACGCCGCCCCCGAAAUCUAGUGGCGGCCCUCCGAGGCGACCUCUGCGUAGUAACUUGUUCUCGCACCGGAAAGCUCAGAGCGGCCACGCCGUAAAACCCCAACUUUUUUCAGGUUGACCUCGAAUCAGGUAGGACUACC